RNAcentral lists this transfer RNA (71 nucleotides) under Marmota monax (woodchuck). Its description in RNAcentral is "tRNA.Ala". Lineage: Eukaryota; Metazoa; Chordata; Mammalia; Rodentia; Sciuridae. The record is from RNAcentral.
GGGGUUGUGGCUCAGCGGUAGAGCGAUCACCCAGCAUGUGCUUGGUACUGGGUUCAAUCCUCAGCACCACA